CUUUAGAUACCCGGUAGUCCUAGCAGUAAACGGUGUGCGUUUGGUGUGGGAGGGUUCGACCCCUUCUGUGCCGGAGCUAACGCGUUAAACGCACCGCCUGGGGAGUACGGUCGCAAGACUAAAACUCAAAGAAAUUGACGGGGACCCGCACAAGCGGUGGAGUAUGUGGCUUAAUUCGAUGCAACGCGAAGAACCUUACCUAGGCUUGACAUGUAUUGCUAAGCUGUUGAAAGGCAGUGACCCUUCGGGGACCUUACACAGGUGCUGCAUGGCCGCCGUCAG
Molecule: ribosomal RNA, 282 nt
Filed under: uncultured bacterium
Lineage: Bacteria
Description: partial 16S ribosomal RNA
Rfam family: Bacterial small subunit ribosomal RNA
Source: RNAcentral